This 446-nucleotide ribosomal RNA is filed under the name uncultured bacterium. RNAcentral's name for it is "partial 16S ribosomal RNA". It matches the Rfam family "Bacterial small subunit ribosomal RNA", at positions 338 to 795 of the family's 1533-position model. The record is from RNAcentral.
CCUACGGGAGGCUGCAGUCGAGAAUCAUUCACAAUGGGGGAAACCCUGAUGGUGCGACGCCGCGUGGGGGAAUGAAGGUCUUCGGAUUGUAAACCCCUGUCAUGUGGGAGCAAAUUAAAAAGAUAGUACCACAAGAGGAAGAGACGGCUAACUCUGUGCCAGCAGCCGCGGUAAUACAGAGGUCUCAAGCGUUGUUCGGAAUCACUGGGCGUAAAGCGUGCGUAGGCUGUUUCGUAAGUCGGGUGUGAAAGGCGCGGGCUCAACCCGCGGACGGCACAUGAUACUGCGAGACUAGAGUAAUGGAGGGGGAACCGGAAUUCUCGGGGUAGCAGUGAAAUGCGUAGAUAUCGAGAGGAACACUCGUGGCGAAGGCGGGUUGCUGGACAUUAACUGACGCUGAGGCACGAAGGCCAGGGGAGCGAAAGGGAUUAGAUACCCUGGUAGUC